GAUAUGUGCUUAGUAAGUGUCACAUUAGCCCGUAGACCGUCCGUCAUUUCAAGCAGACGGAGCCGCACGGGCCCCGCGUGGAUUGGCUCAUGCUUCAGCUACGACUUCCCUUGAGUGACAAAUGCGAAUCUCGAAGGCUAUGCUCCUGAAGCGAUGCGAAUCGGGGAGGCAGGUUCCUUUUCGUUAACCGCAGUGUGGCGCUGCUGCAGUGUUUUGUUCAAUAAAUCCAAUCCAAUCCAAGUUGCUGUAGUUUAUGGACCACGUUGGCUGUGCGCGAGUGCUUGUUGCAGUGAGGCGGUAGUUGAAUUUUAUAUUAGAAGUGCCUAGGCAAAAUGUGCUUCUUAUCGUGUGCAUUAACCAUCGCACAACCUCUGGACUCGUGAAACACCGUGUGUUCGCCGUGUGUUUCGAGCGAUACGCCAGUGUCAACAGUGUCUUACAGCGCCCGUCCGAGCUGCUUUUGUUCCCGCCUGCCUGCGCUCUCUCGUGAAAAGCCUGGUACUGGGGCUUCACCACAGUGUAUGGAAGAAUUUGUUGUAGGUUGUGCGUUGGUGGUGCUGUAGUUCAUCGGCAGCUCUACAGUGUUUGCGCCCGAAAGAGAGUUGGUGCCACGGUACCUGUGGGACGAAGGAGUGUUUGCUGACUACGUCUUGAAAGUUGAAGGCUAUGCGGAUUCUGGAGGCAUCCCACAGGAACCUGCAGCACUGCUGCAAGCUGGAGAGCACCACUAUAAAACACCUGAUCUGCGUGCUUUUACAAAGGCUUGCAGCAAGAGGGAUAUCAAGAACACGGGAGAUAUCCAGACCACAUUAUAGUCACUGCUUGCUUGUGGCUUCUUAGGGCAUGUAUGAAAGGGUUGGAAAAUAAACAUCAGUGUUUGAAAAGAUUGGUGUGUUUCGCUAACAGGUACAUACUUUUAUAUGUUCAAGGUUGCAUCAGAGCACUACCAGACAAUUUUUAAAAAAUGCUGGAAAAAGUCGAUAAAUGUCACCAGGAUGUUUCUAGGGCGAGCAACAGAAAGUUG
Long non-coding RNA from Dermacentor silvarum, 1024 nucleotides. RefSeq lists it as uncharacterized. The record is from RefSeq and is a predicted model, not a curated record. The transcript has 3 exons. NCBI's taxonomy places the organism in Eukaryota, Metazoa, Arthropoda, Arachnida, Ixodida, Ixodidae.